Molecule: long non-coding RNA, 482 nt
Filed under: Homo sapiens (human)
Lineage: Eukaryota; Metazoa; Chordata; Mammalia; Primates; Hominidae
Description: HSALNT0269794
Source: RNAcentral
GCAGCCCCUCCUGGAAGCAAGACUGCCUCCUCAGCAUGGCCAGUAACCCUCUGGGCUGUGCCUCCUGGAGAAAGGCCUCAUUCAGUCCCAUGACUGACAAGUGUGACUAGCAAAGGUUCAGUCACUGCUGUUUGUGCAGAAAUUUUCAGCCUCAGAGUGGCAUGAAAAUCUGAAUGGCUGUGCCUGUCAAAUGUUGCUUGUUUUGACCCCAGCAGAUCCUUCUAGGUUUUCUGCAGUUUAAUUAUCAGCACUCAUGACACUUUUAGGUAACCUCUGAUUUGGUGUGCUCAACUGGGCUGGAAGACUCUUAGCAGAGCUGAUGAAUGAAGCCCAGGACAUAGAAAGGCAGCUGACGGAAUAUUUUCCCCACCAAUGCCAGGAAGCUGAAGGUCUGCUCUUGUGAUUUGCAUCUGGCUGUGAUGUUCUCUCUCUGCCCCCCACCCUCACCCCAGCACAGAGCAAUCAACCUUGUCCCUGUUCUC